This 497-nucleotide ribosomal RNA is filed under the name uncultured bacterium. RNAcentral describes it as "partial 16S ribosomal RNA". It matches the Rfam family "Bacterial small subunit ribosomal RNA", at positions 28 to 507 of the family's 1533-position model. The record is from RNAcentral.
GAUGAACGCUGGCGGCGUGCCUAAUACAUGCAAGUCGAGCGAACGGACGAGAAGCUUGCUUCUCUGAUGUUAGCGGCGGACGGGUGAGUAACACGUGGAUAACCUACCUAUAAGACUGGGAUAACUUCGGGAAACCGGAGCUAAUACCGGAUGAUAUUUUGAACCGCAUGGUUCAAAAGUGAAAGACGGUCUUGCUUUCACUUAUAGAUGGAUCCGCGCUGCAUUAGCUAGUUGGUAAGGUAACGGCUUACCAAGGCAACGAUGCAUAGCCGACCUGAGAGGGUGAUCGGCCACACUGGAACUGAGACACGGUCCAGACUCCUACGGGAGGCAGCAGUAGGGAAUCUUCCGCAAUGGGCGAAAGCCUGACGGAGCAACGCCGCGUGAGUGAUGAAGGUCUUCGGAUCGUAAAACUCUGUUAUUAGGGAAGAACAUAUGUGUAAGUAACUGUGCACAUCUUGACGGUACCUAAUCAGAAAGCCACGGCUAACUACGUG